AGAAUCAACGCUGGCGGCGUGCCUAACACAUGCAAGUCGAACGCGAAAGGGGAGCAAUCCCUGAGUAGAGUGGCAAACGGGUGAGUAACACGUGGGUGACCUGCCUUCGAGUGGGGGAUAACGUUCCGAAAGGAACGCUAAUACCGCAUGACAUCCUGCUUUUGGAGAAGCGGAGAUCAAAGCUGGGGAUUCGCAAGAACCUAGCGCUUGAAGAGGGGCCCACGCCUGAUUAGCUAGUUGGUGAGGUAACGGCUCACCAAGGCUACGAUCAGUA
RNAcentral lists this ribosomal RNA (274 nucleotides) under uncultured bacterium. RNAcentral describes it as "partial small subunit ribosomal RNA". It matches the Rfam family "Bacterial small subunit ribosomal RNA", at positions 26 to 285 of the family's 1533-position model. The record is from RNAcentral.